GCCCAGGUGGUGGAAUGGUAGACGCGCCGGCUUGAGGGGUCGGUGGCCGAAAGGCCGUGCGAGUUCGAGUCUCGCCCUGGGCA
RNAcentral lists this transfer RNA (83 nucleotides) under Roseivivax halodurans JCM 10272. It matches the Rfam family "tRNA". Rfam says of the family: Transfer RNA (tRNA) molecules are approximately 80 nucleotides in length. The record is from Rfam by way of RNAcentral. Lineage: Bacteria; Pseudomonadati; Pseudomonadota; Alphaproteobacteria; Rhodobacterales; Roseobacteraceae.